Molecule: long non-coding RNA, 1570 nt
Filed under: Homo sapiens (human)
Lineage: Eukaryota; Metazoa; Chordata; Mammalia; Primates; Hominidae
Description: HSALNT0399699
Source: RNAcentral
GGCAAAUCCUGAGCUUCACUCCAGGUGGUCACAAUCUGACCCUUGUGACCUCAUGCUUCCCCACCCCCAUUUGUGAAGUUCCAUCACAGGAAGUUCUUCUCCAGUGGCCCCUGAUCCAGGGAGACCCACCCUGCAACAGCCCUUGUCUCCCUCCGCCCUUGGUUCCUUCUCACCCAUCUCACCACCAUCUGCCCAGGGGAGCCACAUGUCCCAAAUUUUGGAGAGAAAAUAAUUGAGGCUCAUUUCCAGGACAGAGGGGCAAGCUGGGUCUAAAGAGCCAAGCAGAAAGGCUUCCCAAAAUCGCUAGGUUGGGAGGGGUCAGAGACGUGUGGCUGCCCCAGCUGUUCUGACUCUGCCCCAGCUUUUGGCUCCACCCCCUUAAAGCACCUUCAGAGGUUCCCAUGGCGACAGUAAACAAGUCUCCACUGCCUUGGCCAUGUGCUGUGUUCACCCCACUCCUGAUCUUGUUGGCUGCUCAGGGGCUGACAGCCCAGAUGUGCAGCUGUGAUGAGCAGAAACAGGGAGGAAUGGAGCCCCCAGCCAUUGUCAUCACUUCCUCAAGCUGUCUAAAUUCUGCCCAGCAGUCUGUGAAAAUGUUGUGCUGAUGACAUAUGUAAGGACUCUAACUCCCCUCAAACAAUCUGCUCACCUGAAAGGCUCACUCCUGUUGUAAUAAAUGACACAUAAGGUCACAAUUCAACCGGUACCCAUCUUGGAUACCACUUCUUAUGUAAACAUCAAAUAUACACCCUCUUCCCACACACUAAUGUAUCCUGUAUAUUUGAAAUAAAAGUUAGAGAUAUACAUACAGAGAUUUAAAAUCUAAAACUGUCCCCUCCCCAGUAAGUCAUGUAUCCGUUAAAAGAAUAUCUGGAAACCUCCAAAAGGAAGCCAAGCAUAGACUAUUUGGAAGAACUUGAAGGAGCGAGAGCUGACCCCAUCUUUGUACACUGGCAGCACAAGGACAACAAUCAACACGGAAGACUUCUGUGACCAAAUGUGUGCACGUUUCUCUCCAUACACCAAGCAAGCAAUCUAUUCUGCAGCAGACACCAACUGGAAGUCCUCCAAUUCAAUUCAAUUCUGACACUGUCUACCUGGAAAUGGCCUCAGCAACCACAGGUUGAGAGCUCAGUCCCACAAGAACACCUCCUCCUUCCAACCAGUUGAAACUCCACACCUCCAGAACUUCUCACUGACUGGCUUCGAGUUGAGAAAAACAUCAAAAUGUUGUACAAAUUUGUAAGGAUUUGAUAAUAAAUUUUGGCAGAUGUCCAAUAUCAAGAUCACCAACCACUUCAUUAAUAAUUGUUGUUAAGUCAUGGAACUUGUCUGCAGAAAUUGUAUUCUUCCAAGCUUCUAACUGAGGAUUUUGCCCUUCAACCUUAUCUGCUGUGAAAAGACAUGUUUUUUUUUGCAAAGCAAUAUUAAGAUAAUUGAAAUAUCCAAAAUACUAGACAAAUGAGAAAGAUUCGUUGUCCAAUUUCAUCUUAAAGUCAAUAUCAAAUUGGUUGCUUACCUUGGAAACACUGAGAUUGUUCUAUAGUUCAACAGUUCUCCACCAAACUUU